Molecule: ribosomal RNA, 1454 nt
Filed under: uncultured organism
Description: SSU rRNA
Rfam family: Bacterial small subunit ribosomal RNA
Source: RNAcentral
CGCUGGCGGCGUGCCUAAUACAUGCAAGUAGAACGCUGAAGAGAGGAGCUUGCUCUUCUUGGAUGAGUUGCGAACGGGUGAGUAACGCGUAGGUAACCUGCCUUGUAGCGGGGGAUAACUAUUGGAAACGAUAGCUAAUACCGCAUAACAAUGGAUGACACAUGUCAUUUAUUUGAAAGGGGCAAAUGCUCCACUACAAGAUGGACCUGCGUUGUAUUAGCUAGUAGGUGAGGUAACGGCUCACCUAGGCGACGAUACAUAGCCGACCUGAGAGGGUGAUCGGCCACACUGGGACUGAGACACGGCCCAGACUCCUACGGGAGGCAGCAGUAGGGAAUCUUCGGCAAUGGGGGCAACCCUGACCGAGCAACGCCGCGUGAGUGAAGAAGGUUUUCGGAUCGUAAAGCUCUGUUGUAAGUCAAGAACGAGUGUGAGAGUGGAAAGUUCACACUGUGACGGUAGCUUACCAGAAAGGGACGGCUAACUACGUGCCAGCAGCCGCGGUAAUACGUAGGUCCCGAGCGUUGUCCGGAUUUAUUGGGCGUAAAGCGAGCGCAGGCGGUUUGAUAAGUCUGAAGUUAAAGGCUGUGGCUCAACCAUAGUUCGCUUUGGAAACUGUCAAACUUGAGUGCAGAAGGGGAGAGUGGAAUUCCAUGUGUAGCGGUGAAAUGCGUAGAUAUAUGGAGGAACACCGGUGGCGAAAGCGGCUCUCUGGUCUGUAACUGACGCUGAGGCUCGAAAGCGUGGGGAGCGAACAGGAUUAGAUACCCUGGUAGUCCACGCCGUAAACGAUGAGUGCUAGGUGUUGGAUCCUUUCCGGGAUUCAGUGCCGCAGCUAACGCAUUAAGCACUCCGCCUGGGGAGUACGACCGCAAGGUUGAAACUCAAAGGAAUUGACGGGGGCCCGCACAAGCGGUGGAGCAUGUGGUUUAAUUCGAAGCAACGCGAAGAACCUUACCAGGUCUUGACAUCCCGAUGCUAUUUCUAGAGAUAGAAAGUUACUUCGGUACAUCGGUGACAGGUGGUGCAUGGUUGUCGUCAGCUCGUGUCGUGAGAUGUUGGGUUAAGUCCCGCAGCGAGCGCAACCCCUAUUGUUAGUUGCCAUCAUUCAGUUGGGCACUCUAGCGAGACUGCCGGUAAUAAACCGGAGGAAGGUGGGGAUGACGUCAAAUCAUCAUGCCCCUUAUGACCUGGGCUACACACGUGCUACAAUGGUUGGUACAACGAGUUGCGAGUCGGUGACGGCAAGCUAAUCUCUUAAAGCCAAUCUCAGUUCGGAUUGUAGGCUGCAACUCGCCUACAUGAAGUCGGAAUCGCUAGUAAUCGCGGAUCAGCACGCCGCGGUGAAUACGUUCCCGGGCCUUGUACACACCGCCCGUCACACCACGAGAGUUUGUAACACCCGAAGUCGGUGAGGUAACCUUUUGGAGCCAGCCGCUUAAGGUGGGAUAGAU